GUCCGUAAAGGUGGAUGAGUGGUGUUUGGUUUGUCACGUGUGGUUGGCUGCGGCGUUUGCAACAACUUCCAUGCUUUCAGACCUCUUCAGUUGUGCGGCAAGGCUUGUAUCGCCWUGCCGUAUCGUGGGUUUUCUGUGUUGAAUACCUAAUCAAUGGUAUCGGUUGGAUUGAUAAAUGUGUCAUUUCGUCUGUCGUCGCAUUCGCGGCGUGAGACGAACCUUGAUGCGGUCUCUUUGGCCCACCUCGUCGAAGCACAUGCUUUGACGUUGUGGCACAUUGAGCAUUGCUUGGUCUCUUGUAUACGGAACAUAUAGUGGGCAUGGAUCUAACGAUUCUUGUUUGCCCUCAUGUUAGCGUAACGCUUCUCUUACACGACUUGCUCCACGUUUUAGCUCGUACGGACGUGGU
Molecule: unclassified non-coding RNA, 409 nt
Filed under: Artemisia anomala
Lineage: Eukaryota; Viridiplantae; Streptophyta; Magnoliopsida; Asterales; Asteraceae
Description: partial external transcribed spacer
Source: RNAcentral